This 653-nucleotide ribosomal RNA is filed under the name uncultured bacterium. RNAcentral describes it as "bacterial SSU rRNA". It matches the Rfam family "Bacterial small subunit ribosomal RNA", at positions 94 to 743 of the family's 1533-position model. The record is from RNAcentral.
AGCGGCGGACGGGUGAGUAAUGCCUGGGAAUUUGCCCGGUUGUGGGGGAUAACCAUUGGAAACGAUGGCUAAUACCGCAUAAACCCUACGGGGAAAAGGGGAGGCUCUUCGGACUUCUCGCAAUUGGAUAAGCCCAGGUGGGAUUAGCUAGUAGGUGAGGUAAAGGCUCACCUAGGCGACGAUCCCUAGCUGUUCUGAGAGGAUGAUCAGCCACACUGGAACUGAGACACGGUCCAGACUCCUACGGGAGGCAGCAGUGGGGAAUAUUGCACAAUGGGGGAAACCCUGAUGCAGCCAUGCCGCGUGUGUGAAGAAGGCCCUAGGGUUGUAAAGCACUUUCAGCGAGGAGGAAAGGUUAGUAGUUAAUACCUGCUAGCUGUGACGUUACUCGCAGAAGAAGCACCGGCUAACUCCGUGCCAGCAGCCGCGGUAAUACGGAGGGUGCGAGCGUUAAUCGGAAUUACUGGGCGUAAAGCGUGCGCAGGCGGUUUGCUAAGUCAGAUGUGAAAGCCCCGGGCUCAACCUGGGAAUCGCAUUUGAAACUGGCAAACUAGAGUCUUGUAGAGGGGGGUAGAAUUUCAGGUGUAGCGGUGAAAUGCGUAGAGAUCUGAAGGAAUACCGGUGGCGAAGGCGGCCCCCUGGACAAAGACUGA